RNAcentral lists this long non-coding RNA (264 nucleotides) under Coturnix japonica (Japanese quail). Its description in RNAcentral is "lncRNA (ENSCJPG00005003646.1)". The record is from RNAcentral. Lineage: Eukaryota; Metazoa; Chordata; Aves; Galliformes; Phasianidae.
UUUCUGUUUCAUAUGCCCAGAUGGUAAUCUGUUUGCUUUGGGGUGAAUUCAUGAAAUGAAGCAUCUGGAGUUCUGAGUGUUUCGAUUUGCUUGACUAGCUGCACCAAGCCCUUGACUACUGAACAAAAUAUUUGCUGCUGGAGCUCUUAUCCUGAAACUAAUGUUGCCAAAGGUAAGCGAGCAGCAGAGCUGGAAACCGUGGCAGUAAAUUAUUUGUCUUUCUUGCUUGUAUCCAUGGAUCCUGGAUUUUGCAAGCUGUGUUAG